GCUUAAUGUUCCCCUCGGUGACUGUGUGCCCUAUGACUAGAUUUAAGCCUAUAGUUUGUUAAGGAAUGAUUUCAACCUGUUUCAAAGAAUGACCUGAACAUUUUAUAAUCUACAUUGAAGAAAGUUGUGCCCUUUAUUUUAAGCCCUUGAAGCUAUUGCAGAGAAUGCACAGCUGCACAGGAGGAGGUUAGAGAACCUAAGAGAACACCUGAGUCUCCACUGAAAAUGAAGCAACCACAGCCCAGAUGGACUACUUUAUUCAAGGAAAAGCGAAAAAUUAACAUAUUGAUAAUGCAAAUAAUUAUCCCAUCAGCAUUAUGUUGUCAAACAUUCAGUCUGAAAAUAAAGAGAUGAGGUCUAUACAUUUUUUUGAGGCAAACCUUACCACUAUGUGUUAGGUGAAGUUAUUUGUCAAGGUUAUGUGAGACUUUAUUCAGGGGUAUGGGUAGAAACUGCAGCUUUGGCAAGCAG
This is a long non-coding RNA of Protopterus annectens (West African lungfish), 471 nucleotides long. RefSeq lists it as uncharacterized. The record is from RefSeq and is a predicted model, not a curated record. The transcript has 4 exons. NCBI's taxonomy places the organism in Eukaryota, Metazoa, Chordata, Ceratodontiformes, Protopteridae.